Molecule: long non-coding RNA, 1645 nt
Organism: Fukomys damarensis (Damara mole-rat)
Lineage: Eukaryota; Metazoa; Chordata; Mammalia; Rodentia; Bathyergidae
Exons: 8
Source: RefSeq, a predicted model, not a curated record
GACGAUUUGGGUUUCUGGAUUGGCCGAGUGUUUUGCCUGGAGGGCGGACAUCUAGAGGGCUGGUUGGUGACUCGGCUGAAGAGGACCCCUCCUGGAGUAGCGGUUGUGUUUCCUCUGGCGCAUGUGUAGGGUACACGUGUGUCUGCUCGCCGGGAGCCAACUGUGGAGAACUUUUCACGGAUUGGAAAGGCACCGUGUUAAGCUAGGAGUGCGAAAGACCGUCCUUACUGGUUUGCCUCUCCACUUUCACCUCGGGUCUGCCAAUCAUUACUUUUCAUCUGGGAUGAUUGUUAUGAAAGUGAGAGGUGCAGCGGACUAGAAGUUUAAAUUCCACUUGCUAAAAGAUCUUAAACCAGUAGGUGGAUACAGGAGAAUCGACGAUGAACUCCACCCUCUACUAGAUAGAUCUGCCAAGUUCUCCAUUAAAGGUUCUUCCCUACCUACCACUGCUAUUGAACAAUGAAGGUCUAAAUAUGUCAACGAAGUAAAACUAAGAUGUGGCCUUCACCAACCAUGAGCUCACCUAUUACUCCCCAAAGCCAAAGACAAGGCAAUAAACUUAUCACGGGCUGCUGGUCAAACUGGAUGGGGAGAAGUGAAGCAAGGGAUUAAGAAAAUCAGUCUACGGUCAAGUUUUCUGCUUGUAUAGCUCAAGUGAGAAUAGCCAGAAAGGAAAACCAGUUGGAGUCGUUCCAACCAGGAGACCCCUUGCUUUCCUCCUCUUUUAAACUUUCUUAAGGAAAAACAACAAGGUUUCUUUGUUUGGGUCAGCCUUGGUUAUUCAGAGCCUCAGGCAUGGAGGUCUUCAAAUGUGCCUGUGUCCGAUCUGUCCCUCUCUGGAGUCUGGAUCAGCAGCUCACAAGGACAGAGACUGGCAUGGAUAUGUCGACCUACAUGACAGGCCAUGAAGAUGUGAUAUCUGGAGCUACAGCAGGCAUUUGACAACCACAGGUGACGAAGCAGACAAAAAGCCAACAUGUUGUAUGUUAGGAAGAUGAAAAGAACGCGAAUCUUUAAUGAGCUGGAGAUUUAACCAGGGCCUCGCUCAAGCUAGGCAAGAGUUCAGGCUCCUAGCCACGCCACCAGCCCUCCUUUUCAUCUUAAUGACUUCUGUACUGUUUGAAGAGAAAUAAUUUAUCGACCUUCACAAUCAAAGACCCUCUCUGUAACUGCCGACGGAGGGGCGGAGCCUACCCGCUGUCUGCCCGGUCCAGCAGCGCCAGGCUAAACACCAGACUCCAGACUCCAACAGAAAUCACCGUAGUUGGCAUGGAGACCGCUGGCCCUUACAAGCUCAGCUCUUUAGAGCGUUUUAGGAGCACGUCUUAGCUAGGCCCUCUUCCUCUGCUCCUUCCUGGUGGAUCCCCCACUGCCCACCCAGAGCCUACUGCUCUCCCUCGGAGCAUUGCCCCUGGACGCACCUGCUGGGUCUCCAGCUCCCUCAGGAUUCUAAAGUCUUCUAGGCUGGUGGUGACUCCUGCACUGCUGCCUCCGGCUCGGCCGCCUCCCACAAGUUGGAUUCUGGUGGAACAAAUUUCCAUGUCCUGCCCUCCAGAAGAGUUUUUCAAGUCCUUGUGACCACCGUGGCUGACGUGGAGGAUUCUUGGUCACAGAGCCAUCUUGAAUCACGGUAGUUUUGAAGCAG